CCCCUCUCGGGAUCACACCCGGAGAGUUCCCAGUACUCUACCAGUCUUGGCUACAAGAGGAAGAGUCUAAUAGAGGCCUAUCCAUUCCAUUCCUAGCUUGGACAAUGGCUAGCAAGUGGAAGGCAAUCUGCUGCAAGU
Small nucleolar RNA from Ornithorhynchus anatinus (platypus), 138 nucleotides. The record is from RefSeq and is a predicted model, not a curated record. Lineage: Eukaryota; Metazoa; Chordata; Mammalia; Monotremata; Ornithorhynchidae.